RNAcentral lists this ribosomal RNA (497 nucleotides) under uncultured bacterium. RNAcentral's name for it is "partial 16S ribosomal RNA". It matches the Rfam family "Bacterial small subunit ribosomal RNA", at positions 28 to 507 of the family's 1533-position model. The record is from RNAcentral.
GAUGAACGCUGGCGGCGUGCCUAAUACAUGCAAGUCGAGCGAACGGACGAGAAGCUUGCUUCUCUGAUGUUAGCGGCGGACGGGUGAGUAACACGUGGAUAACCUACCUAUAAGACUGGGAUAACUGCGGGAAACCGUAGCUAAUGCCGGGUAAUAUUUUGAACCGCAUGGUUCAAAAGUUAAAGACGGUCUUGCUGUCACUUAUAGAUAGAUCCGCGCUGCAUUAGCUAGUUGGUAAGGUAACGGCUUACCAAGGCAACGAUGGAUAGCCGACCUGAGAGGGUGAUCGCCCCCACGAGAACUGAGACAGGGUCCAGACUCCUACGGGAGGCAGCAGUAGGGAAUGUUCCGCAAUGGGCGAAAGCCUGACGGAGCAGCGCCGCGUGAGUGAUGAAGGUCUUCGGAUCGUAAAACUCUGUUAUUAGGGAAGAACAUAUGUGUAAGUAAAUGUGCCCAUCUUGACGGUACCUAAUCAGAAAGCCACGGCUAACUACGUG